UACAGAGGUCCCAAGCGUUGUUCGGAUUCAUUGGGCGUAAAGGGUGCGUAGGCGGCGCGGUAAGUCGGGUGUGAAAUCUCGGGGCUUAACUCCGAAACUGCAUUCGAUACUGCCGUGCUUGAGGACUGGAGAGGAGACUGGAAUUCAUGGUGUAGCAGUGAAAUGCGUAGAGAUCGUAAGGAAGACCAGUGGCGAAGGCGGGUCUCUGGAAAGUUCCUGACACUGAGGCACGAAGGCCAGGGGAGCAAACGGG
RNAcentral lists this ribosomal RNA (253 nucleotides) under uncultured bacterium. RNAcentral describes it as "partial 16S ribosomal RNA". It matches the Rfam family "Bacterial small subunit ribosomal RNA", at positions 524 to 776 of the family's 1533-position model. The record is from RNAcentral.